RNAcentral lists this ribosomal RNA (1056 nucleotides) under uncultured bacterium. RNAcentral's name for it is "bacterial SSU rRNA". It matches the Rfam family "Bacterial small subunit ribosomal RNA", at positions 393 to 1445 of the family's 1533-position model. The record is from RNAcentral.
GACGCCGCGUGGGUGAAGAAGGCGGAAACGUUGUAAAGCCCUUUUCUGCGUGAGGAAUAAGCGUGGGAGGAAAUGCCCGCGUGAUGACGUUAGCGCAGGAAUAAGCCCCGGCUAAUUACGUGCCAGCAGCCGCGGUAACACGUAUGGGGCGAGCGUUGUUCGGAAUUAUUGGGCGUAAAGGGCGCGUAGGCGGUCUGGCAAGCUUGGUGUGUAAGCCCACAGCUCAACUGUGGAGACGCGCUGAGAACUGCUUGACUUGAGUCCUGGAGGGGAAGCUGGAAUUCCUGGUGUAGGGGUGAAAUCUGUAGAUAUCAGGAAGAACAUCAUGGCGAAGGCGAGCUUCUGGCCAAGGACUGACGCUGAGGCGCGAAAGCGUGGGGAGCGAACAGGAUUAGAUACCCUGGUAGUCCACGCCGUAAACGAUGUGCACUAGGUGUCGGGCCAUGGAGGUUCGGUGCCGUAGUUAACGCGAUAAGUGCACCGCCUGGGGAGUAUGCCGGCAACGGUGAAACUCAAAGGAAUUGACGGGGGCCCGCACAAGCGGUGGAGCAUGUGGUUUAAUUCGAUGAUACGCGAGGAACCUUACCAGGGCUUGACAUAUACCGGACUGCGGUAGCGAUAUCGCAUCCCUUCGGGGCUGGUAUACAGGUGCUGCAUGGCUGUCGUCAGCUCGUGCCGUGAGGUGUUGAGUUAAGUCCCGCAACGAGCGCAACCCCUGCUGUCUGUUGCCAUCAUUAAGUUGGGGACUCAGACGGAACUGCCGGUGACAAACCGGAGGAAGGUGGGGACGACGUCAAGUCAUCAUGGCCCUUAUGUCCUGGGCUACACACGUGCUACAAUGGCCGGUACAGAGUGAAGCGACACCGCGAGGUAGAGCAAAUCGCCGAAAGCCGGUCUCAGUUCGGAUUGGAGUCUGAAACUCGACUCCAUGAAGGUGGAAUCGCUAGUAAUCGCGCAUCAGCAUGGCGCGGUGAAUACGUUCCCGGGCCUUGUACACACCGCCCGUCACACCACCCGAGUUGGGGGUACCCGAAGUCGCUUGUCUAACCUGCAAAG